Molecule: ribosomal RNA, 785 nt
Filed under: uncultured bacterium
Lineage: Bacteria
Description: bacterial SSU rRNA
Rfam family: Bacterial small subunit ribosomal RNA
Source: RNAcentral
GGCGGUUUGUCGCGUCUGCUGUGAAAUCCCGAGGCUCAACCUCGGGCCUGCAGUGGGUACGGGCAGACUAGAGUGCGGUAGGGGAGAUUGGAAUUCCUGGUGUAGCGGUGGAAUGCGCAGAUAUCAGGAGGAACACCGAUGGCGAAGGCAGAUCUCUGGGCCGUAACUGACGCUGAGGAGCGAAAGGGUGGGGAGCAAACAGGCUUAGAUACCCUGGUAGUCCACCCCGUAAACGUUGGGAACUAGUUGUGGGGUCCAUUCCACGGAUUCCGUGACGCAGCUAACGCAUUAAGUUCCCCGCCUGGGGAGUACGGCCGGCAAGGCUAAAACUCAAAGGAAUUGGCGGGGACCCGCACAAGCGGCGGAGCAUGCGGAUCAAUUCGAUGCAACGCGAAGAACCUUACCAAGGCUUGACAUAUACGAGAACGGGCCAGAAAUGGUCAACUCUUUGGACACUCGUAAACAGGUGGUGCAUGGUUGUCGUCAGCUCGUGUCGUGAGAUGUUGGGUUAAGUCCCGCAACGAGCGCAACCCUCGUUCUAUGUUGCCAGCACGUAAUGGUGGGAACUCAUGGGAUACUGCCGGGGUCAACUCGGAGGAAGGUGGGGAUGACGUCAAAUCAUCAUGCCCCUUAUGUCUUGGGCUUCACGCAUGCUACAAUGGCCGGUACAAAGGGCUGCAAUACCGUGAGGUGGAGCGAAUCCCAAAAAGCCGGUCCCAGUUCGGGUUGAGGUCUGCAACUCGACCUCAUGAAGUCGGAGUCGCUAGUAAUCGCAGAUCAGCAAC